GGGCUAGUAGCUUAGUUGGAAGCACGCGCGGUCGUAUUUGUACUGUUCGCGCAAUGCGGGUUCGAAUCCUGCCUGGACCC
Non-coding RNA from Polyporus arcularius HHB13444, 80 nucleotides. NCBI's taxonomy places the organism in Eukaryota, Fungi, Basidiomycota, Agaricomycetes, Polyporales, Polyporaceae. The record is from the annotation of a GenBank genome assembly.